RNAcentral lists this ribosomal RNA (460 nucleotides) under uncultured bacterium. Its description in RNAcentral is "partial 16S ribosomal RNA". It matches the Rfam family "Bacterial small subunit ribosomal RNA", at positions 338 to 795 of the family's 1533-position model. The record is from RNAcentral.
CCUACGGGGGGCAGCAGUGAGGAAUAUUGGUCAAUGGACGCAAGUCUGAACCAGCCAUGCCGCGUGCAGGAAGACUGCUCUAUGAGUUGUAAACUGCUUUUGUACGAGGGUAAACGCAGACACGCGUACCUGUCUGAAAGUACCGUACGAAUAAGGAUCGGCUAACUCCGUGCCAGCAGCCGCGGUAAUACGGAGGAUCCAAGCGUUAUCCGGAUUUAUUGGGUUUAAAGGGUGCGUAGGCGGUCGGAUAAGUUAGAGGUGAAAUCCCGAGGCUCAACUUCGGAAUUGCCUCUGAUACUGGUCGGCUUGAGAGUAGUUGCGGUAGGCGGAAUGUAUGGUGUAGCGGUGAAAUGCUUAGAGAUCAUACAGAACACCGAUUGCGAAGGCAGCUUACCAAGCUACUUCUGACAUUGAGGCUCGAAAGCGUGGGGAGCAAACAGGAUUAGAUACCCCGGUAGUC